AGGGAUUUAGCUCAGUGGCACAGUGCAUGUCUGGCAACCAUGAGGUCCUGAGUUCAAUCCCUG
This 63-nucleotide transfer RNA is filed under the name Heterocephalus glaber (naked mole-rat). It matches the Rfam family "tRNA". Rfam says of the family: Transfer RNA (tRNA) molecules are approximately 80 nucleotides in length. Their secondary structure includes four short double-helical elements and three loops (D, anti-codon, and T loops). Further hydrogen bonds mediate the characteristic L-shaped molecular structure. tRNAs have two regions of fundamental functional importance: the anti-codon, which is responsible for specific mRNA codon recognition, and the 3' end, to which the tRNAs corresponding amino acid is attached (by aminoacyl-tRNA synthetases). tRNAs cope with the degeneracy of the genetic code in two manners: having more than one tRNA (with a specific anti-codon) for a particular amino acid; and 'wobble' base-pairing, i.e. permitting non-standard base-pairing at the 3rd anti-codon position. Lineage: Eukaryota; Metazoa; Chordata; Mammalia; Rodentia; Bathyergidae. The record is from Rfam by way of RNAcentral.